GGGUUGUGAGGUUAAGCGACUAAGCGUACACGGUGGAUGCCCUGGCAGUCAGAGGCGAUGAAGGGCGUGCUAAUCUGCGAUAAGCGCCGGUAAGGUGAUAUGAACCGUUAUAACCGGCGAUACCCGAAUGGGGAAACCCAGUGUGAUUCGUCACACUAUCAUUACGUGAAUACAUAGCGUAAUGAAGCGAACCGGGGGAACUGAAACAUCUAAGUACCCCGAGGAAAAGAAAUCAACCGAGAUUCCCCCAGUAGCGGCGAGCGAACGGGGAGGAGCCCAGAGCCUGAAUCAGCAUGUGUGUUAGUGGAAGCGUCUGGAAAGGCGCGCGAUACAGGGUGACAGCCCCGUACACAAAAGCGCAUGUGUUGUGAGCUCGAUGAGUAGGGCGGGACACGUGGUAUCCUGUCUGAAUAUGGGGGGACCAUCCUCCAAGGCUAAAUACUCCUGACUGACCGAUAGUGAACCAGUACCGUGAGGGAAAGGCGAAAAGAACCCCGGCGAGGGGAGUGAAAAAGAACCUGAAACCGUGUACGUACAAGCAGUGGGAGCACCCUUUGGGGUGUGACUGCGUACCUUUUGUAUAAUGGGUCAGCGACUUAUAUUCUGUAGCAAGGUUAACCGAAUAGGGGAGCCGGAGGGAAACCGAGUCUUAAUUGGGCGUUAAGUUGCAGGGUAUAGACCCGAAACCCGGUGAUCUAGCCAUGGGCAGGUUGAAGGUUGGGUAACACUAACUGGAGGACCGAACCGACUAAUGUUGAAAAAUUAGCGGAUGACCUGUGGCUGGGGGUGAAAGGCCAAUCAAACCGGGAGAUAGCUGGUUCUCCCCGAAAGCUAUUUAGGUAGCGCCUCGUGAAUUCAUCUCCGGGGGUAGAGCACUGUUUCGGCUAGGGGGCCAUCCCGGCUUACCAACCCGAUGCAAACUGCGAAUACCGGAGAAUGUUAUCACGGGAGACACACGGCGGGUGCUAACGUCCGUCGUGAAGAGGGAAACAACCCAGACCGCCAGCUAAGGUCCCAAAGUCAUGGUUAAGUGGGAAACGAUGUGGGAAGGCCCAGACAGCCAGGAUGUUGGCUUAGAAGCAGCCAUCAUUUAAAGAAAGCGUAAUAGCUCACUGGUCGAGUCGGCCUGCGCGGAAGAUGUAACGGGGCUAAACCAUGCACCGAAGCUGCGGCAGCGAACGUAUCACUUAAAGCGAUUCAGCGGGUUACGAUUGACGGAGCGAAGCGACGUCAAAGCGUAUACAAAGUCGAGUCGGUUUAAGGAUACGUUCGUUGGGUAGGGGAGCGUUCUGUAAGCCUGUGAAGGUGUGUCGUGAGGCAUGCUGGAGGUAUCAGAAGUGCGAAUGCUGACAUAAGUAACGAUAAAGCGGGUGAAAAGCCCGCUCGCCGGAAGACCAAGGGUUCCUGUCCAACGUUAAUCGGGGCAGGGUGAGUCGACCCCUAAGGCGAGGCCGAAAGGCGUAGUCGAUGGGAAACGGGUUAAUAUUCCCGUACUUGGUGUUACUGCGAAGGGGGGACGGAGAAGGCUAUGUUGGCCGGGCGACGGUUGUCCCGGUUUAAGCGUGUAGGUGUGUGUUCCAGGUAAAUCCGGUUCACUUUAACACUGAGGCGUGACGACGAGGCACUACGGUGCUGAAGCAACAAAUGCCCUGCUUCCAGGAAAAGCCUCUAAGCAUCAGGUAACAUCAAAUCGUACCCCAAACCGACACAGGUGGUCAGGUAGAGAAUACCAAGGCGCUUGAGAGAACUCGGGUGAAGGAACUAGGCAAAAUGGUGCCGUAACUUCGGGAGAAGGCACGCUGACACGUAGGUGAAGUGAUUUACUCAUGGAGCUGAAGUCAGUCGAAGAUACCAGCUGGCUGCAACUGUUUAUUAAAAACACAGCACUGUGCAAACACGAAAGUGGACGUAUACGGUGUGACGCCUGCCCGGUGCCGGAAGGUUAAUUGAUGGGGUCAGCGCAAGCGAAGCUCCUGAUCGAAGCCCCGGUAAACGGCGGCCGUAACUAUAACGGUCCUAAGGUAGCGAAAUUCCUUGUCGGGUAAGUUCCGACCUGCACGAAUGGCGUAAUGAUGGCCAGGCUGUCUCCACCCGAGACUCAGUGAAAUUGAACUCGCUGUGAAGAUGCAGUGUACCCGCGGCAAGACGGAAAGACCCCGUGAACCUUUACUAUAGCUUGACACUGAACAUUGAGCCUUGAUGUGUAGGAUAGGUGGGAGGCUUUGAAGUGUGGACGCCAGUCUGC
Molecule: ribosomal RNA, 2245 nt
Filed under: Salmonella enterica
Lineage: Bacteria; Pseudomonadati; Pseudomonadota; Gammaproteobacteria; Enterobacterales; Enterobacteriaceae
Description: partial 23S ribosomal RNA
Rfam family: Bacterial large subunit ribosomal RNA
Source: RNAcentral